Molecule: ribosomal RNA, 213 nt
Filed under: uncultured bacterium
Lineage: Bacteria
Description: partial 16S ribosomal RNA
Rfam family: Bacterial small subunit ribosomal RNA
Source: RNAcentral
GACGAACGCUGGCGGCGUGCUUAACACAUGCAAGUCGAACGGUGAAGCCUUCGGGUGGAUCAGUGGCGAACGGGUGAGUAACACGUGAGCAAUCUGCCCUUGACUCUGGGAUAACUUCGGGAAACCGGAGCUAAUACCGGAUAUGACAUCUGGCCGCAUGGUCUGGGUGUGGAAAAGAUUUUAUCGGUCAAGGAUGAGCUCGCGGCCUAUCAG